UACGGAGGGGGCUAGCGUUGUUCGGAAUUACUGGGCGUAAAGCGCACGUAGGCGGCUUUGUAAGUUAGAGGUGAAAGCCCGGGGCUCAACUCCGGAAUUGCCUUUAAGACUGCAUCGCUAGAAUUGUGGAGAGGUAAGUGGAAUUCCGAGUGUAGAGGUGAAAUUCGUAGAGAUCCGGAAGAACACCGGUGGCGAAGGCGGCCUGCUGGGCAGUAGCUGACGCUGAGGCGCGACAGCGUGGGGAGCAAACAGG
This 253-nucleotide ribosomal RNA is filed under the name uncultured bacterium. RNAcentral describes it as "partial 16S ribosomal RNA". It matches the Rfam family "Bacterial small subunit ribosomal RNA", at positions 524 to 776 of the family's 1533-position model. The record is from RNAcentral.